Notechis scutatus (mainland tiger snake) is the source of this 148-nucleotide non-coding RNA. The record is from RefSeq and is a predicted model, not a curated record. Lineage: Eukaryota; Metazoa; Chordata; Lepidosauria; Squamata; Elapidae.
UUCAUAUUCAUUAUACUUUAUGGUUUUCUCUGUCAGGUUUGCAAUUUCAUCGCAUAUAUUUAAUUCAUCAUUCCAAAAGUUCAAUCUCAAUUCAAACAUUUCAAAAAAUUUUCCCCUAGUAUCAAUUUGAGUUAUUAACAAUUUUAGG